GGACCCGCACAAGCGGUGGAGCAUGUGGUUUAAUUCGAUGCAACGCGAAGAACCUUACCUGCCCUUGACAUACUCGGAACUUGCCAGAGAUGGCUUGGUGCCUUCGGGAGCCGAGAUACAGGUGCUGCAUGGCUGUCGUCAGCUCGUGUCGUGAGAUGUUGGGUUAAGUCCCGCAACGAGCGCAACCCACGUCGUUAGUUGCCAGCAUUUAGUUGGGCACUCUAGCGAGACCGCCGGUGAUAAACGGAGGAAGGUGGGGAUGACGUCAAAUCAUCACGGCCCUUACGUCCUGGGCUACACACGUGCUACAAUGGCCGGUACAGAGGGCAGCCACACCGCAAGGUGGAGCG
This 350-nucleotide ribosomal RNA is filed under the name uncultured bacterium. RNAcentral describes it as "bacterial SSU rRNA". It matches the Rfam family "Bacterial small subunit ribosomal RNA", at positions 917 to 1269 of the family's 1533-position model. The record is from RNAcentral.